This 74-nucleotide microRNA precursor is filed under the name Bombyx mori (domestic silkworm). Its description in RNAcentral is "mir-2807 microRNA precursor family". It matches the Rfam family "mir-2807 microRNA precursor family". The record is from Rfam by way of RNAcentral. Lineage: Eukaryota; Metazoa; Arthropoda; Insecta; Lepidoptera; Bombycidae.
CCAAAUUUGUAUGCAGUUGGAACGUUUGCUUACGUUUGCCGCUAGGGGCGCUGUUCCAACUCCAUACAGAGCUU